This 459-nucleotide ribosomal RNA is filed under the name uncultured bacterium. Its description in RNAcentral is "partial 16S ribosomal RNA". It matches the Rfam family "Bacterial small subunit ribosomal RNA", at positions 338 to 795 of the family's 1533-position model. The record is from RNAcentral.
CCUACGGGAGGCAGCAGUGAGGAAUAUUGGUCAAUGGCCGCAAGCCUGAACCAGCCAAGUCGCGUGAGGGAUGACGGUCCUAUGGAUUGUAAACCUCUUUUGUCAGGGAGCAAAGGGCGUCACGUGUGGCGUUUUGUGAGUACCCGAAGAAAAAGCAUCGGCUAACUCCGUGCCAGCAGCCGCGGUAAUACGGAGGAUGCGAGCGUUAUCCGGAGUUAUUGGGUUUAAAGGGUGCGCAGGCGGAAUGUAAAGUCAGCGGUAAAAUUGGGAGGCUCAACCUCGUCGUGCCGUUGAAACUGGUGUUCUUGAGUGAGCGAGAAGUAUGCGGAAUGCGUGGUGUAGCGGUGAAAUGCAUAGAUAUCACGCAGAACUCCGAUUGCGAAGGCAGGAUACCGGCGCUCAACUGACGCUCAUGCACGAAAGUGUGGGUAUCGAACAGGAUUAGAUACCCUAGUAGUC